UGUUGGGUAGGGGAGCGUUCUGUAAGCCUGCGAAGGUGUGCUGUGAGGCAUGCUGGAGGUAUCAGAAGUGCGAAUGCUGACAUAAGUAACGAUAAAGCGGGUGAAAAGCCCGCUCGCCGGAAGACCAAGGGUUCCUGUCCAACGUUAAUCGGGGCAGGGUGAGUCGACCCCUAAGGCGAGGCCGAAAGGCGUAGUCGAUGGGAAACAGGUUAAUAUUCCUGUACUUGGUGUUACUGCGAAGGGGGGACGGAGAAGGCUAUGUUGGCCGGGCGACGGUUGUCCCGGUUUAAGCGUGUAGGCUGGUUUUCCAGGCAAAUCCGGAAAAUCAAGGCUGAGGCGUGAUGACGAGGCACUACGGUGCUGAAGCAACAAAUGCCCUGCUUCCAGGAAAAGCCUCUAAGCAUCAGGUAACAUCAAAUCGUACCCCAAACCGACACAGGUGGUCAGGUAGAGAAUACCAAGGCGCUUGAGAGAACUCGGGUGAAGGAACUAGGCAAAAUGGUGCCGUAACUUCGGGAGAAGGCACGCUGAUAUGUAGGUGAAGUCCCUUGCGGAUGGAGCUGAAAUCAGUCGAAGAUACCAGCUGGCUGCAACUGUUUAUUAAAAACACAGCACUGUGCAAACACGAAAGUGGACGUAUACGGUGUGACGCCUGCCCGGUGCCGGAAGGUUAAUUGAUGGGGUCAGCGCAAGCGAAGCUCUUGAUCGAAGCCCCGGUAAACGGCGGCCGUAACUAUAACGGUCCUAAGGUAGCGAAAUUCCUUGUCGGGUAAGUUCCGACCUGCACGAAUGGCGUAAUGAUGGCCAGGCUGUCUCCACCCGAGACUCAGUGAAAUUGAACUCGCUGUGAAGAUGCAGUGUACCCGCGGCAAGACGGAAAGACCCCGUGAACCUUUACUAUAGCUUGACACUGAACAUUGAGCCUUGAUGUGUAGGAUAGGUGGGAGGCUUUGAAGUGUGGACGCCAGUCUGCAUGGAGCCGGCCUUGAAAUACCACCCUUUAAUGUUUGAUGUUCUAACGUGGACCCGUGAUCCGGGUUGCGGACAGUGUCUGGUGGGUAGUUUGACUGGGGCGGUCUCCUCCUAAAGAGUAACGGAGGAGCACGAAGGUUGGCUAAUCCUGGUCGGACAUCAGGAGGUUAGUGCAAUGGCAUAAGCCAGCUUGACUGCGAGCGUGACGGCGCGAGCAGGUGCGAAAGCAGGUCAUAGUGAUCCGGUGGUUCUGAAUGGAAGGGCCAUCGCUCAACGGAUAAAAGGUACUCCGGGGAUAACAGGCUGAUACCGCCCAAGAGUUCAUAUCGACGGCGGUGUUUGGCACCUCGAUGUCGGCUCAUCACAUCCUGGGGCUGAAGUAGGUCCCAAGGGUAUGGCUGUUCGCCAUUUAAAGUGGUACGCGAGCUGGGUUUAGAACGUCGUGAGACAGUUCGGUCCCUAUCUGCCGUGGGCGCUGGAGAACUGAGGGGGGCUGCUCCUAGUACGAGAGGACCGGAGUGGACGCAUCACUGGUGUUCGGGUUGUCAUGCCAAUGGCACUGCCCGGUAGCUAAAUGCGGAAGAGAUAAGUGCUGAAAGCAUCUAAGCACGAAACUUGCCCCGAGAUGAGUUCUCCCUGACCCUUUAAGGGUCCUGAAGGAACGUUGAAGACGACGACGUUGAUAGGCCGGGUGUGUAAGCGCAGCGAUGCGUUGAGCUAACCGGUACUAAUGAACCGUGAGGCUUAACCUUACAACGCCGAA
This 1735-nucleotide ribosomal RNA is filed under the name Shigella sonnei. RNAcentral describes it as "partial 23S ribosomal RNA". It matches the Rfam family "Bacterial large subunit ribosomal RNA", at positions 1222 to 2925 of the family's 2925-position model. The record is from RNAcentral. Lineage: Bacteria; Pseudomonadati; Pseudomonadota; Gammaproteobacteria; Enterobacterales; Enterobacteriaceae.